This 403-nucleotide unclassified non-coding RNA is filed under the name uncultured Glomus. RNAcentral describes it as "SSU rRNA". It matches the Rfam family "Eukaryotic small subunit ribosomal RNA", at positions 569 to 976 of the family's 1831-position model. The record is from RNAcentral. Lineage: Eukaryota; Fungi; Glomeromycota; Glomeromycetes; Glomerales; Glomeraceae.
CGCAGCCGCGGUAAUUCCAGCUCCAAUAGCGUAUAUUAAAGUUGUUGCAGUUAAAAGCUCGUAGUUGAAUUUCGGGGUCUGUCCGUCGGUCGGGCUUCACGGUCCGUACUGGUGUGAUGGGUUCCUACCUUCUGAAUAACCGGCAUGCCAUUUAUUUGGUGCGCCGGGGAAGCAGAGCUAUUACCUUGAAAAAUUAGAGUGCUUAAAGCAGGCUAGUGCUUGAAUAGAUUAGCAUGGAAUAAUAAAAUAGGACGGCAUGGUUCUAUUUUGUUGGUUUCUAGGAUCACCGUAAUGAUUAAUAGGGAUAGUUGGGGGCAUUAGUAUUCAAUUGUCAGAGGUGAAAUUCUUGGAUUUAUUGAAGACUAACUUCUGCGAAAGCAUUUGCCAAGGAUGUUUUCAUUAA